AUACGUAGGGGGCGAGCGUUGUCCGGAAUUACUGGGCGUAAAGGGCGCGCAGGCGGUUUGAUAAGUCGCUCGUGAAAAGCACUGGCUCAACCGGUGCACUGCGAGUGAAACUGUCAGACUUGAGUGCAGUAGAGGGAAGCGGAAUUCCUAGUGUAGCGGUGAUAUGCGUAGAUAUUAGGAAGAACACCAGUGGCGAAGGCGGCUUUCUGGGCUGCAACUGACGCUGAGGCGCGAAAGCUGGGGGAGCGAACGGGAUUAGAUACCCCGGUAGUCCCAGCCGUAAACGAUGAUCACUAGGUGUAGGAGGUAUCGACCCCUUCUGUGCCGAAGCAAACGCAUUAAGUGAUCCGCCUGGGGAGUACGUCCGCAAGGAUGAA
Molecule: ribosomal RNA, 377 nt
Filed under: uncultured bacterium
Lineage: Bacteria
Description: bacterial SSU rRNA
Rfam family: Bacterial small subunit ribosomal RNA
Source: RNAcentral